UAGAAUGAAAUUCAAAACAGUGUGGCUAUGGCCAUUGAUUGACACAUUAAAUUCAUCCAUUGACUGGGACAAUUUACGUGAACGUUUGUCUGUAACGACCACUGUUCACGACGUACCUACGAUAGACAUUUAAACUGUGGGGUUACCAAAGGUUUCUUAACGCCUUUAAUUAUAAAAUAAUUCGAAAAAAAAAUCAGGAAUAACCUUUAUGUUUUGAUUUAUAUAAUUGAUAUAAAUCAAAACAUCGUGUUAUUUCUGAUUAAUUUUU
This 268-nucleotide long non-coding RNA is filed under the name Mytilus galloprovincialis (Mediterranean mussel). The record is from RNAcentral. Lineage: Eukaryota; Metazoa; Mollusca; Bivalvia; Mytilida; Mytilidae.